UGGGGAAUCUUGCACAAUGGGGGCAACCCUGAUGCAGCGACGCCGCGUGAGCGAUGAAGCCCUUCGGGGCGUAAAGCUCUUUCGACCGGAACGAUAAUGACGGUACCGGGAGAAGAAGCUGCGGCUAACUACGUGCCAGCAGCCGCGGGAAUACGUAGGCAGCAAGCGUUGUUCGGAGUUACUGGGCGUAAAGAGUGCGUAGGCGGUUUUCUAAGUUCGGUGUGAAAUCUCCCGGCUUAACUGGGAGGGUGCGCCGAAGACUGGGAAGCUGGAGUGUGGGAAAGGCAGGCGGAAUUCCUGGUGUAGCGGUGAAAGGCGUAGAUAUCAGGAGGAACACCGGCGGUGUAGACGGCUUGCUAGACCAUAACUGACGCUGAGGCACGAAAGCGUGGGUAGCAAAC
This 401-nucleotide ribosomal RNA is filed under the name uncultured bacterium. RNAcentral's name for it is "bacterial SSU rRNA". It matches the Rfam family "Bacterial small subunit ribosomal RNA", at positions 355 to 773 of the family's 1533-position model. The record is from RNAcentral.